RNAcentral lists this ribosomal RNA (468 nucleotides) under uncultured bacterium. RNAcentral's name for it is "partial 16S ribosomal RNA". It matches the Rfam family "Bacterial small subunit ribosomal RNA", at positions 28 to 507 of the family's 1533-position model. The record is from RNAcentral.
GACGAACGCUGGCGGCGUGCUUAACACAUGCAAGUCGAACGGAAAGGCCCUGCUUUUGUUGGGUGCUCGAUUGGCGAACGGGUGAGUAACACGUGAGUAACCUGCCCUUGACUUUGGGAUAACUUCAGGAAACUGGGGCUAAUACCGGAUAGGAUCUCCUGCUGCAUGGUGGGGGUUGGAAAGUUUCGGCGGUAGGGGAUGGACUCGCGGCUUAUCAGCUUGUUGGUGGGGUAGUGGCUUACCAAGGCUUUGACGGGUAGCCGGCCUGGGAGGGUGACCGGCCACAUUGGGACUGAGAUACGGACCAGACUCCUACGGGAGGCAGCAGUGGGAAAUAUUGCACAAUGGGCGGACGCCUGAUGCAGCAACGCCGCGUGCGGGAUGCCGGCCUUCGGGUUGUAAACAGCUUUCGCCUGUGACGAAGAGUGAGUGACGGUAAUGGGUAAAGAAGCACCGGCUAACUACGUG